RNAcentral lists this unclassified non-coding RNA (366 nucleotides) under Hevea brasiliensis (rubber tree). Lineage: Eukaryota; Viridiplantae; Streptophyta; Magnoliopsida; Malpighiales; Euphorbiaceae. The record is from RNAcentral.
AAAUGAGAGUGUCAAUGAUGUAGAUGAUGCAAAGAAUGCAAGGACGGACGAUACAGAUGAGCUUCAAUAUGAAAAGGAGGUCAAAGAGUGUCCUGAGGCUGAACUAGAGCAUGAUAGACCAUCAAAGUGUGUCAAAGAUGUCGGGUUGGACCCAAUAGAAGAUGAUCUGAAAAGUAUUGGCAGCUGGCCCUCGGAGUUCAAGAUGCUUCAGAAAGAGAUCAUUGAACUUUGGAAUGUUUGCAACAUUUCCCUCGUACACAGAACAUAUUUCUUCCUCCUUUUCCAAGGUGAUGCUAAGGAUGCUGUAUAUCUGGAGGUAGAGAUCAGAAGACUGACCUUCCUCAAUGACACAUAUUCGCAUGGAGA